GGGAGAGCCGGGGUCGUGGACUUUGUAGCUGAAGCUGUGGGUGCUGGAGUGGGAGUGAGGCGUGGAGGACGCAGUCGCGGACGGGAGGAGGAAGGAGCCUCGGGGAAGGCAGGAUGUGAGGGUUGCGAGCGGUCACCACAAAGGCUCAAAGCAGUGGUUGGAGAACUGCUGGAGCCUCAGUAUGGGUCACGGCAAGAAGUCAAAGGUGGGGCCGGCAAGGCGGCUCAACCAACCAGUACAGAAGCUUGCCGCGGAGAUCGUUCAUCUAGAUACAACCGCUGGGACUUCCAUGGAAGGGUUUCUCACUGGGCCUGGAACUCACUGCUUCACAUAGGCUGGUCGGCCAUCGUGGGAGCGGCCCAGGACUGGAGUUACAGGGUGAAGCUACCAACUUUAUGAACGUCCAUUAGGCAAUCGCACAGAGAUGGAGAGUGUUCGUUUUUACUGGGGUUUGGGUCGGAGGAGGGGGACUGCACGCUGCUGAGAGAGCUUCUUAGGGAAAUGACAGAAUAGUCAGAAAUUGGACAGUGGUGAUAGUUGGUGACUUUGAAUAUGCCAAAAAUCAGUAAGUUGUAUUCUUCUAAGGGAUAAAUUUGGGGCUGAGGUCAUAGUGUACUGGCAGAGUAUGUGGCCAGCAUGCACAAGGUUUUGGGUUUGAUCGCUAGCAACACACACACACACACACAGUGAAUUUCAUGUUAAUAAUGCUAUUACUCAAACACAAAAAAGGUCAUCAGUAUGAGUACCUAGCCUCCCACGCCGGAAGACCCUCUAAAGGGAGCGGGAGCAUGAAGGAAAGCUGUAUAAAUUAUGUAGCCAGAGAAUCUGAGAGUCUUCGUACUAAGUGGCUAGUAUACCUGAUCGCUUCACAUAGGUUUGUUCAUAACCUGAUCCUUACCUUAUCUGGAGCAUAUUAUUGGAUAACUAAUUAAAAUAUCCUAGAAAAAAUACAUUAAAAAAAAAAACGUUCUCAGCAAUCUGAAAAAACCCAGAAGCAUACAAGACUAGCCCGUGCAUACAAGCAGGCGUGUGGAACCCCUGAAAAAGUGUCAAAUGUGCAACUGACAUUAAAAACUGGCAGUAAAACAUCACGGCACAUGGUACCCAGGUCACACAGCCUCUGUAAGUUCUAGCUUGGUCUCCCCAGAUUUCAUUCUCAUGGUGUGUUAGCUUGCUGUCAGGGUAAGGUGGGACAGUCUCAGGCGCUCAGGCCCUUAGCCACAGCAGCUCUGCUCCCUACUCCAAGGCCCAGCACAAAGGAGUUUCAAUGUAACCCUUCCUUCAUGACCUCCACGUGGGCAUCUCCCAGUGCCUGCAUGAAGAGCUGUACUCUGCCGUCUGUACCACACGUGCUGUGAGUGCCACAGGACUGUGUAGAGCUUAGCAAGAGGUGGAGAGUGCCAUAUUUCUUAAGGCAUACCUCUUGAGUGUGUCUGUGAAGAUGUUUUCUGAGAGAAUUCACUAGGGUUCACUGUGAGAAGGGGAGGGAGGUGGGGAGACCUGCCUUGAAGGUGGGCAGUGUCAUCCCAAGAGGUAAGGAUAAGGACAAAGGAGAAACUGGCUGAGUACCAGCAUCUUCUGGUCUCUGCUUCCUGGCUCACUGUGAUGGAUGCAAGUCCACUGAAAACAGGAGCCCAAACAAACCCUUCCCCCACUAAGCCUUCUCUGCCAGGAAUUGUGGAUAGAGAGACAAAGAGUAACUGAUACUCUCCACAACUGAAGGGAUCCUAGAUAAUACAUGAAGCUAGUAUGUUAUUAAAAUUUCCAUAGAGGAAGUCAACUUGCUAGAACUACAAUUCCUUAGGAAUUGUGUGUGUGUUUCAGAAACUCAGAGUUUCUGAUAUCUAAAUGAGUCCAGAUCUAUUUAAUUUUCAUAAUUUAACAAAGAAGCUAUUUCCCACAGUGACAGCUAGAUUUGUAAUAUCUCAAUUACUUGGCAGAAAAGGUAACAGGACCUCCAGGUAAUACGAAUUUCAGAUAAAUGACAAAAGUAUAGACCUCCAGGAGACCUCAAGCCCACUGCUGGUGACACACCAUCUCCCAAGGCCACGCCCACUCCAAAGAGGCCACACCUCUGAAUUCUUCUCAAAUGGUUCCACUAACUGGGACGAAGCAUGCAAACAUACGUGUCUGUGGGAGCCAUUCUCAUUCAAACCACUGUAUUCGGCAACCUCCAUCUGCAUGGGCGCUAUUAGCAACUAGGGAGAAGGCUCAGUAGGUGCAGUGCUUGCUGCAGGAGCUUGAGGAUGUGAGCUUGGAUGCUCACACUUACACAGAAGUCAUGUAUGGGAGUGCAUGCUUGUAAUCCCAACAAGGGGGAGACAGAGACGGGAGGCUCCCUGGGAUCCACUGGCCAGCCAUUCCAGCCAAAUCAGAAAGCCAUGGUUCAGUGAGUAACUCUUGUCUCAAAGAAAUAUGGUGGAGAGGGAUUGGUGAAGACACCUGGUGUUGACCUCUGGCCUCUAACAUACACAAUUUGUUUUUAAAGUUCAAAUAAAAGGCAAUGGGGUGGGGGAUGAAUAUGAUCAAAAUAUACAGUGUCUUAGUUAGGGAGUCAUUGCUUUGAACAGACACCAUGACCAAGGCAACUCAUAUAAGGACAACAUUUACUUGCGGCUGGCUUACAGGUUCAGAGGUUCAGUCCAUUAUCAUCAUGACAGGAAGUGUGACAGCAUCCGGGCAGACAUGGUGCUGAGAGUUCUACAUCUUGACCUAUAGAUCAAGUCUCUCUCUUCUGCACUAGGCAGAGCUUGAGCAUAGGACUGCAAAGCUCAACCCCCACCCCCACCCCCUACCCCUGCAGGGAUGAAUUUACUCCAGCAAGGCCACACCUAGUCUAUAAAGAACACACCUCCUAAAAGUGGCACUUCCUGUGGGCCAAGCAUCCAAACGCAUGAGUCUAUGGGUGCCAAACCCAUUCAAACCACCACACACACUGUAUGAAAAUUUACAAGAAUUAAUAAGAUCAUUACUUAGAAAGGAAAUUAUUAGGGUUAUAAUUUAUUAAAGGGGUGAAUCAUUGAUUUAGCCCGCCCCCAAUUCAGAGAACAAAAUCCAAAGACACAG
Molecule: long non-coding RNA, 3066 nt
Filed under: Mus caroli (Ryukyu mouse)
Lineage: Eukaryota; Metazoa; Chordata; Mammalia; Rodentia; Muridae
Description: lncRNA (MGP_CAROLIEiJ_G0004409.1)
Source: RNAcentral